This 514-nucleotide ribosomal RNA is filed under the name uncultured bacterium. RNAcentral describes it as "partial 16S ribosomal RNA". It matches the Rfam family "Bacterial small subunit ribosomal RNA", at positions 28 to 523 of the family's 1533-position model. The record is from RNAcentral.
GAUGAACGCUGGCGGCGUGCCUAAUACAUGCAAGUCGAGCGAACAGACGAGGAGCUUGCUCCUCUGACGUUAGCGGCGGACGGGUGAGCAACACGUGGAUAACCUACCUAUAAGACUGGGAUAACUUCGGGAAACCGGAGCUAAUACCGGAUAAUAUAUUGAACCGCAUGGUUCAAUAGUGAAAGACGGUUUUGCUGUCACUUAUAGAUGGAUCCGCGCACGCAUUAGCUAGUUGGUAAGGUAACGGCUUACCACGGCGACGAUGCGUAGCCGGCCUGAGAGGGUGAUAGGCCACACUGGAACUGAGACACGGUCCAGACUCCUACGGGAGGCAGCAGGAGGGAAUCUUCCGCAAUGGGCGAAAGCCUGCCGGAGCAACGCCGCGUGAGUGAUGAAGGUCUUCGGAUCGUAAAACUCUGUUAUUAGGGAAGAACAAAUGUGUAAGUAACUAUGCACGUCUUGAUGGUACCUAAUCAGAAAGCCACGGCUAACUACGUGCCAGCAGCCGCAGUAA